UACGUAGGGUGCAAGCGUUGUCCGGAAUUAUUGGGCGUAAAGAGCUCGUAGGCGGUCUGUCGCGUCGGAUGUGAAAAUCCAGGGCUCAACCCUGGACCUGCAUUCGAUACGGGCAGACUAGAGUUCGGCAGGGGAGACUGGAAUUCCUGGUGUAGCGGUGAGAUGCGCAGAUAUCAGGAGGAACACCGGUGGCGAAGGCGGGUCUCUGGGCCGAUACUGACGCUGAGGAGCGAAAGCGUGGGGAGCGAACAGG
RNAcentral lists this ribosomal RNA (253 nucleotides) under uncultured bacterium. Its description in RNAcentral is "partial 16S ribosomal RNA". It matches the Rfam family "Bacterial small subunit ribosomal RNA", at positions 524 to 776 of the family's 1533-position model. The record is from RNAcentral.